AAUAAAAAUACCUUUGGUUGGGGCAACCACGAAGAAAAAAAAACCUUCGUUCUAAAAAGAAAUAAACAAAUUUAAAAUUUAAAAUAAAGAAAGAUCCAGUAAUCUGAUCAAAGAAAUAAGUUACCGCAGGGAUAACAGCGUUAUUCUCUUUAAGAGUUCAUAUUGACAAGAGAGUUUGCGACCUCGAUGUUGGACCGGGACACCCAAGAGGUGCAACAGCCUCUAAAGGUUGGUCUGUUCGACCAAUAAAGUCCUACGCGAUCUGAGUUCAGACCGACGCAAGUCAGGUCAGUUUCUAUCUA
This 302-nucleotide ribosomal RNA is filed under the name Argyrometra mortenseni. RNAcentral describes it as "partial 16S ribosomal RNA". It matches the Rfam family "Bacterial large subunit ribosomal RNA", at positions 2257 to 2643 of the family's 2925-position model. The record is from RNAcentral. Lineage: Eukaryota; Metazoa; Echinodermata; Crinoidea; Comatulida; Antedonidae.